GUAGGUGAACCUGCGGAAGGAUCAUUAACACGUAUCCACGUUAUAACCCGAGAACUUUCUUAGGUAGCCUAGUUGAGAAAAGGCUUAAUCAGAUCCCUUCGGGGAACUGUUUAAGCUCUGCCUCCUCGGGGGCUAUUGACUAGACUCCUUCGAUUCUAAACUAGUUAAUUGCCUUCGGGCAGCUAAUUAGUUUAAACUCUCAGGGACAAAUCUCCUCGGAGACGCGACCCUGAGGGUUACUCGAAACCCC
RNAcentral lists this unclassified non-coding RNA (250 nucleotides) under plant metagenome. Its description in RNAcentral is "partial contains small subunit ribosomal RNA, internal transcribed spacer 1, and 5.8S ribosomal RNA". The record is from RNAcentral.